GAGAGCCGUGUGCUGAGGAAACCUGCAAGCACGGUUCGGGGGAGGGCCGAUGGAAAAGGGCUGGCCCAGACACCACCAGAUGUAUUCUGGCAGGUCAAAGCGAUGACAGUACCUCGCCAGCGGCCUAUCCUAC
Ktedonobacter racemifer DSM 44963 is the source of this 133-nucleotide non-coding RNA. NCBI's taxonomy places the organism in Bacteria, Bacillati, Chloroflexota, Ktedonobacteria, Ktedonobacterales, Ktedonobacteraceae. The record is from Rfam.